This is a long non-coding RNA of Hippopotamus amphibius kiboko, 2552 nucleotides long. RefSeq lists it as uncharacterized. Lineage: Eukaryota; Metazoa; Chordata; Mammalia; Artiodactyla; Hippopotamidae. The record is from RefSeq and is a predicted model, not a curated record. The transcript has 4 exons.
AGUCACCUUGGGCCACACUGCCCAGGCUUUGGGCAAGCAGUGGCCUCAGUUGGUGGGGAGGCAUCUUUCCCCAGUGAUCAGCAGGCCCCAAGUACCUGCUUGGCACCAACCCUUUCCCUGUGCUUAGCAGGGCAGUCAGUGGAGCUGCCCCUAGGUGCUGGGACCUAGAAAGCCCAUACUGACUACAGGAGACCCUGCGCAGAGCUCCUAACUGGGGACUGCGAGUCCAGACGGCAGGGCCCUGAGUGAGUUUUCAGGCACAAAGACGAACCAGCGGUGCCCCUGCCCUGGAGGAGCUACGUCUCUCAGGAGAGGGGGACACAUCGACAGACCAGUGAAACGUGGCAUAACAGGGGCACCUGCGGCUGCGUAGCUGCUCCGUCUCAUAAAGAAGCAGUGGAAAGAAUCACCGAGGGAACUUGCUUUAAAAACGUCGCCUGGUUGAAAAGCUCCUGCUCUUUUUUGCCCCCAGGCCCAUGUUGGCCCAACAAGAAAACUGCUUCUGUUAAGUAAUAGAAGCUUUCUCAGUUUGGGUUAAUCAAAGGCGUCCGAGAUGCUGUGCAACUCUCAUUGGCCUGGAGAGUCUGAACGAGCACGGUGGGUUGAUAUAACCCCAUCCAAAGCAGAGAAAGGUGAUGCUGUUAUGGAGCCCAUGCUGGUCUGGCCCUCCGUCUGGGUGCAGUGACCAUCAGGGAUUUCAAAAGGCUUGGUGCGUGUUUUAAGAGCGUGGUCGCAUUCCCACUGAGAAGGAUGCAUCUCUGAGGCCUUGUCGUUGAGGACGUGGCAGACACAAGGGGUGGGGAGUUCAAGGGCACAGCGUGGCCUGCGUGUCAGUGGGCUUCGGAGCUGAUAAGAGCUGGAGCUACAGAGGUUGGGAACGAAAAUCUGAAUCCCCAGUGGUCCUCAAAUGCACCGAGGUCCACGGCCAAACCCUGGCUCAGAACCCUGACCGAUACUACUGAUUGUAUGACUGGUGGGACCAGAUGGGACCCAGGGCUAAGCAGCCCUCCCCUGCUGGAAGAGGAGCUCAGAGAGGCCCGCCAUCUUGUCUUUGUAUGGAACACCACCGGCCACACUCUGAAUGUCAGGCUGGGAGUGCUUCUGUUUUUAUAUUGGACACAAUUGUCUAAUGUGCUGUAGGAGCGUGCUGCCGUGGCAGUUGGCUGUGUUUCCCAAAGAAGCUCUGGAACUCUGAUGCCAGAGUUCCACAAAGACUCCUGGGAAACAGCUUCCUUGCCCAGCAGAAUUUGCUUGAAUAUGCCAGGGUGCACUGGGAAUCUUGUAUAUGAGACGAAAGCUCACAGUCUGCACAUACUGGACAGGCUAUGGUUUUUCCAGAGCAUAACCUGAGGUCAGUAUUCCAAAGGACACACUUUGGGAACCCAGUCAAUGAAAGGCCCUCAUAACUAAAAGGUCUCUCUGUUUCUGUGUUAGUUACCUCCUGCUGCAUAACAAAUCACCCCUAACUUAGUGGCUUAAAACAGUAAGCAUGUAUGAUCUCACAGUGUCUGUGAGUCAGGAAUUCAGAAGUGGCAUAACCGGCUGGUCCCAGCCUGUGGUCUUCACUGAAGACGCAGUCCAGGUGUCAGCUGGGGUCGCCAUCACCUGACAGCUUGACUGGGGCUGGAGGAGCGGUUUCCGAGAUGGCACAGUCACCGGCUGGCGGGGCGAUGGUGGCUGUUGGCAGGAGGCCUUGCUUUCUCACCGCACAGACUCCUCCACAGAGCUGCUUGAGUUUCCUCACACUGUGGCGGCUGACUGCCCCCAGAUGGAUGCGAGAGAGCACAACGGAAGCCACAGUGCCUCUUGUGACCUGGCCCUUUCCACACUGUCCUAUGGGUCCCCACAGGGCAGCCCUAUGCAUUGUGGGAAGGGCUGAAGGAGGGUGGAAUCGUUUGGAGGCCAUCUUGCAGGCCGGCUGCCAUGGUAACCAUCUCUCCUGCACAAGGACAGAUAACUCACCUCACUCUCACAGCUGGUUUCUUACCAUUUAGUGCCAAUUAGUAACUUUGAGAGGUGACCUUGCUAACCUAUGAUGUGAAGGAGGAGGAGACCAGGAAUUUAUCAGCCACAUCAACGCCCCGGGAACAGCAGCCGUAACAGUCGUCCAGGCCCCUUUGCUGAGCCUCAGAGCCUGGUGGUGUGGUGCAGUUCUUGGCCCCAAGCAGCAAGUUCCACCAGAGUUCCAAGGUAGCCCACUUGGUUUUCUGAAAGGUAUCAAAUGAGAGGGUUUUUUUUGGCCAUGAUGGCUACCAGGACACAAGCAGCUUUGUCUCCUGGAAAUGCAGAGGCAAAAUCUGUGACCCGUGUGAAUCCACGUGGAGAAGACUAGAGAGGGGUGAGAACUCAAGAUGGAUAAAGGCCAAAGAUAAACACCUCAUAGGGGCUUCCCCGGUGGUGCAGUGGUUAAGACUCCGAGCUCCCACUGUAGGGGACGUGGAUUCGAUCCCUGGUCAGGGAGCUAAGAUCCCACAUGCUGUGGGGCAUGGUGCCCCCCAAUAAAUAAAUAAAUAAACACGUAAUAAGUAGGUGAGAUAAAAGAUUUAUUUCGU